AUGCAGAGGCUAAACAUUGCUCUUGAUGUGGCGGAGGCACUGGAAUAUCUUCAUCACUAUAUUGACCCUCCAAUUGUUCACUGUGAUGUUAAACCGAGUAAUAUUCUUCUUGAUGAUAACAUGGUUGCACAUCUUGGUGACUUCGGACUAGCAAAGAUAAUUACGGUAGAAGAAAGCAGGCAAUCACUCGCCAAUCAAAGUUGCUCAGCUGGAAUCAAAGGCACAAUUGGGUACCUUGCACCAGAGUAUGGCAUGGGGACUGAAAUAUCUGUGGGAGGGGACGUGUACAGCUAUGGUGUGCUAUUGUUGGAGAUGCUUACUGGGAGAAGGCCAACUGACCCAUGUUUCAAUGACACUAUAAAUCUACCAAAGUAUGUUGAGAUGGCCUGUCCGGGUAAUCUCUUGGAAACAAUGGACGUCAAUAUAAGAUGCAACCAAGAGCCUCAAGCGACUUUAGAAUUGUUCGCUGCUCCAGUUUCAAGACUUGGUUUAGCUUGCUGCAGAGGCUCUGCAAGACAGCGCAUAAAGAUGAGCGAUGUGGUAAGAGAAUUGGGUGCCAUAAAACGGCAAAUCAUGGCCAGCGAGAACUAUGCGUCUUGGGUGCAGUAA
RNAcentral lists this ribosomal RNA (609 nucleotides) under Triticum aestivum (bread wheat). RNAcentral describes it as "partial small subunit ribosomal RNA". Lineage: Eukaryota; Viridiplantae; Streptophyta; Magnoliopsida; Poales; Poaceae. The record is from RNAcentral.